UACAGAGGGGCGAGCGUUGUUCGGAAUUACUGGGCGUAAAGGGCGCGUAGGCGGCCUGCUAAGUCGAACGUGAAAUCCCCGGGCUCAACCCGGGAACUGCGUCCGAUACUGGUGGGCUUGAAUCCGGGAGAGGGAUGUGGAAUUCCAGGUGUAGCGGUGAAAUGCGUAGAUAUCUGGAGGAACACCGGUGGCGAAGGCGGCAUCCUGGACCGGUAUUGACGCUGAGGCGCGAAAGCUAGGGGAGCAAACGGGG
This 253-nucleotide ribosomal RNA is filed under the name uncultured bacterium. Its description in RNAcentral is "partial 16S ribosomal RNA". It matches the Rfam family "Bacterial small subunit ribosomal RNA", at positions 524 to 777 of the family's 1533-position model. The record is from RNAcentral.